Megalobrama amblycephala (Wuchang bream) is the source of this 226-nucleotide long non-coding RNA. RefSeq lists it as uncharacterized. The record is from RefSeq and is a predicted model, not a curated record. The transcript is spliced from 3 exons. NCBI's taxonomy places the organism in Eukaryota, Metazoa, Chordata, Actinopteri, Cypriniformes, Xenocyprididae.
UAAUCAAACAUAUCUUAAUUUGUGUUCUGAAGAUGUGUGGAACAACAUGAGGGUUCAGUCAGUCAUUACUGACGGGUAUGAACAAAAACUUAAAGAACCUGUCUCAGACUUUAAUGUGUUUCUGCAUGAUGUAGAAUUUCACCGGAAAAUAAUCACCCCCACGGUCCACAGGAGCACACAGAAUGGGUAUUAUCAUUUUCAAUUAAGUUAAAAUGGUAUGAAUUAC